This 1013-nucleotide long non-coding RNA is filed under the name Chloebia gouldiae (Gouldian finch). Its description in RNAcentral is "Erythrura gouldiae (Gouldian finch) lncRNA (ENSEGOG00005016893.1)". The record is from RNAcentral. Lineage: Eukaryota; Metazoa; Chordata; Aves; Passeriformes; Passeridae.
ACAUCCAGACAAGCAGCCACCAGCUCACCGAGCUGAGGCGUGAGAUGCAGAACCUGGAGAUCGAACUGCAGGCACAGCUCAGCACGGUACGUGGGCAGGAUCUGCGGGUACUUCUCUCCUUGGCACGGGCAGGGAGCCGUAGAACUCUGCUCCUCAACUCCUGGAUUUGUCUUUCCAGAAAAGCUCUCUGGAAAACUCCCUGGCAGAAACCGAAUCUCGCUACAGCUGCCUGCUGCAACAAAUCCAGGCGCAAAUCAACUGCAUCGAGGAGGAGCUGGCCAGCAUCCGCUGUGAGAUAGAGGGUCAGAGCCAGGAGUACAAGAUGCUCCUGGGCAUCAAGAUGCGCCUGGAGCAGGAGAUCCAGCAGUACCGGGCACUGCUGCAGGAGGGCCAGCAGGACCUUGUGUAUGUAUUUCAUAUUAUAGCAAGGGAGUAAAAAGAAAUCCUCAUGCACUUAUUUACCAGUAGAGACUCUUUGUCCCUCAAGCUACAUCAUCAUAUCUUUCAACUGAAUAUCCUAUGUUAGUAGGUUUUGAUGAAUUCUGUCUCUCUCUCUCUUUUUUUUUUUUUUUUUUUUUUUUUUUUUUUACAGUGCCUCCCAAGGAGCUUUCCAAGGAGGUGGAAAAUCCUCCCAGUCAUAUUCUGCUUCCUACUCUCAUUCUCAGUGUGGAGACAUGUCAGGGCAGUCAAGAGUGUGCUAGAGCAGCAGGAGAGACCCUGGCACUGUCCAGCUGAGAUGCACCGACCAUGGGCGGCACGAAACACCCGAGAAUUUCUGCAGCACGGCCGGGGCAGCGGGAAGGGUUUGGAAGACGAGCCUGGUCACCUGCCCCAGCACCCCCUCCUCCUCCCCGCAAUGCUUGGCUUACUCAACUUGUCUUUGGCAAUUCAUUCUUUGUUAAGGGCUCACACUCUGCUGGUAACUCUGCUCUAAUAAACCUUUAUGUCUGCAAUUCAAAUCACAACAUGUCUGAGAAAAUAAAUUUAACCAACCUCACGUGGGUACUUAUCCA